AUGCGAGGACGGCCUCGCGCUUUCCAGCAUUGGGGACGGCCCC
This 43-nucleotide non-coding RNA is filed under the name Candidatus Viadribacter manganicus. Its description in RNAcentral is "Caulobacteraceae bacterium OTSz_A_272 Guanidine-II riboswitch aptamer (mini-ykkC)". It matches the Rfam family "Guanidine-II riboswitch aptamer (mini-ykkC)". Rfam says of the family: Simpler in structure and has fewer highly conserved nucleotide positions than the ykkC-yxkD leader. Despite this each of its two stem-loop structures directly bind free guanidine. The record is from Rfam by way of RNAcentral. RNAcentral also lists the same sequence under 1 other name. Lineage: Bacteria; Pseudomonadati; Pseudomonadota; Alphaproteobacteria; Hyphomonadales; Hyphomonadaceae.